This is a long non-coding RNA of Tupaia belangeri chinensis (Chinese tree shrew), 1555 nucleotides long. RefSeq lists it as uncharacterized. The transcript has 3 exons. The record is from RefSeq and is a predicted model, not a curated record. NCBI's taxonomy places the organism in Eukaryota, Metazoa, Chordata, Mammalia, Scandentia, Tupaiidae.
CAGAGUCCUGGAAGACGCAGCCUUGGCCAAGGUCGCACAGGGAGCCAGUGGCGACGGGCCCAGCAUCCGGGCCACAGUGCUCGCCCAGAACCUCCCCGUUCCUCUGGUCCCUCUGGCUUCCUCUUGCUCCGCGAGAAGCAGGCUGGGAGGACCCGUUCUCUCUCUCUCUGCUGUGGGGGGUCCAUUUCCUGCCAAAGUUGAAAGCCAGUUCCCCCAGUCUUUCUUCUGAUGAGGCCUUGGCAGAAGUGAUGCCAUGGAGGAGGCGGGGGUGGAGGAGUGGUGAGGAAUCGGGUGUGCUGGGCCCGGUGCCAGGGAGCUUUCCAGACAGAACAAUCCUCGGAAUAACAAGGGAGAGAAGUCCUGGGGUCUGGAAAUUCAGCAGCUCAGUGAUGUCUGCGGAGAGGUGCCGGCCUCCUUCACAUGCUGGCAAUGCCUUACCUCACGGUCACAAGAUGGGUGCAGCAGCGCCUGCCACCGCCCACAGACACACGGUGUUCAAUGAAGGUGUCUGCUUGUAUUCGUCUUUAAAGGUCUGAAGCUUCCUCAUCGGACCUCGGCUCAGUCCUGCUGGCUACGACUGGGUCACAUGCUUCUCACUAAACCAGUAUCUGCUAGAGGGAAUGCGAUCACCAGUCGGCUUAGACCCUUCACGCUUUGCGCCUCAGUACUGAGAGGGCUCUGUCCUCGGAGUGCUUGUCCUCGGGGAGCAGGUCCCAAAGUGGCCUUUCCAGAGGGGAGAAGGAUAUGGGAAGGGCCAGUAUACCUGUGACUCCAGUCUGUGCGAUGGCCGUAGCACAGGCACCCCCUGCUGGUGGGCUGCGCGCUGGCGCCCUCCUAUGGCCCCUGAGGUAAAGACAGCCUGAGCCCAAUGUCCUGAACCCUGGCAAUACCCUCAGCAGGGCUGCGAGAGCCGGGAGUGUUCCUGGUGCCCGGGGGCCAGCUCAGUGGCUCUGGAGGAAUCCGCUCGCUGGGUCCACACGAAUGAACUGGACACCUGCCUUGUGGUGGGCACUGGGUGAUAAGCAAAACUCACCAAGGACCCUGCCCUCAGAGAGCUCCCUCUGGGGGACGAGAUGCUCCAAUAACCACACAGAGUGGGGACAGUGGCCGGUGGGACCAGUUUGGGACUGAUGGGUGCACGGUGCCAUGAGACUUCAGCAGGCAGGUGGGGGUUUUGGAUUUGGCAGUUUUCAUUUCGACCCCAGGCUUGGCCCCUUUCCCACUGGGAUUCUGCAAAGACAAUUUGUCAUCUCUGUGUCUUGGUCCUCAUUGGGAAAUAGCAAAAAUUAAUGCCACCACCCGCCCAAGAAGGGUAGGAAGACUAAAUAGCACAGCCACACUGCGGUUCUAGGAGCCCUCAUGUUACCCGCAGGGGACAGCACAGUGAUGGCAGCUUCUAGCUCCAGCCGGGCUGCACGUGUCUGAGGCCCAGCGCUGCCACCUCCCCGACUGGGGGGGCAUCGAGCGAUUGCUGUCUCCCUAAGCCUUGGCUUCCCCGGCUGUAAGAUGGAGCUAAUAACAAAGACGGUUGUUGAGAUGAGGUAGGAGCCAGGCA